GAGAGUGCAGCCUAAAUUUGGUGGUAAACUCCAUCUAAAGCUAAAUAUUGAUCAGUGACCGAUAGCAAACAAGUACCGUGAGGGAAAGAUGAAAAGAACCUUGAAAAGGGGGUUAAAAGUACGUGAAAUUGUUAUUAGGAAAGCACUUAGUCUCAUUGUGGAUUAGAUCAGUCUGUUUCGGCAGAUACUGUCCUAAUUAGUUAUGAUCAGUUAGCGUUGAUAAAGAAAAUUUGUGAUAAGGUAUUAGUGUAGUGCUAAACUUAAAGAUCACUUAUUAUUUGUCGAUACUGACUGAGGAAUGCUACUUAAUCUUUUUGAGUAAAUAGUUUGUGGAGUUAGGUUAAACAACAUGUUGAUUAGCUUAAUUAAAGNGAUCUAUUUGCUUUAAAACUUAAGUACAGGAUCAUAAUUAAAUGAUACUAAAUGACCCGU
Molecule: ribosomal RNA, 432 nt
Filed under: Carebara reina
Lineage: Eukaryota; Metazoa; Arthropoda; Insecta; Hymenoptera; Formicidae
Description: partial 28S ribosomal RNA
Rfam family: Eukaryotic large subunit ribosomal RNA
Source: RNAcentral